This 466-nucleotide ribosomal RNA is filed under the name uncultured bacterium. RNAcentral describes it as "partial 16S ribosomal RNA". It matches the Rfam family "Bacterial small subunit ribosomal RNA", at positions 28 to 507 of the family's 1533-position model. The record is from RNAcentral.
GAUGAACGCUGGCGGCGUGCUUAACACAUGCAAGUCGAACGAUGAAGCCCAGCUUGCUGGGUGGAUUAGUGGCGAACGGGUGAGUAACACGUGAGUAACCUGCCCUUGACUCUGGGAUAAGCGCUGGAAACGGCGUCUAAUACCGGAUACGAGCUUCCACCGCAUGGUGAGUUGCUGGAAAGAAUUUCGGUCAAGGAUGGACUCGCGGCCUAUCAGGUAGUUGGUGAGGUAACGGCUCACCAAGGCGACGACGGGUAGCCGGCCUGAGAGGGUGACCGGCCACACUGGGACUGAGACACGGCCCAGACUCCUACGGGAGGCAGCAGUGGGGAAUAUUGCACAAUGGGCGGAAGCCUGAUGCAGCAACGCCGCGUGAGGGACGAAGGCCUUCGGGUCGUAAACCUCUUUUAGCAGGGAAGAAGCGAAAGUGACGGUACCUGCAGAAAAAGCACCGGCUAACUACGUG